Molecule: ribosomal RNA, 466 nt
Filed under: uncultured bacterium
Lineage: Bacteria
Description: partial 16S ribosomal RNA
Rfam family: Bacterial small subunit ribosomal RNA
Source: RNAcentral
GAUGAACGCUGGCGGCGUGCUUAACACAUGCAAGUCGAACGAUGAAGCCCAGCUUGCUGGGUGGAUUAGUGGCGAACGGGUGAGUAACACGUGAGUAACCUGCCCUUAACUCUGGGUUAAGCCUGGGCAACUGGGUCUAAUACCGGAUAGGAGCGCCUACCGCCUGGUGGGUGUUGGAAAGAUUUAGCGGUUUUGGAUGGACUCGAGGCUUAUCAGCUUGUUAGUGAAGUAAUGGCUCACCAACGCGACGCCGGGUAGACGGCCUGAGACGGUGACCGGCCACAAGGGGACUAAGAGACGGCCCAGACGGCAACGGGAGGCAACAGUGGGGAAUAUUGCACAAUGAGCGAAAGCCAGAUGCAGCGACGCCGCGUGAGGGAUGACGGCCUUCGGGGUGUAAACAUCUUUCAGUAGGGAAGAAGCGAAAGUGACGGUACCUGCAGAAGAAGCACCGGCUAACUACGUG